GGAAGAGUGGCCGAGUGGCUGAAGGCGCAUGCCUGGAAAGCAUGUAUACGGUUUCACCGUAUCGAGGGUUCGAAUCCCUCUUCUUCCG
RNAcentral lists this transfer RNA (88 nucleotides) under Candidatus Cytomitobacter indipagum. RNAcentral's name for it is "tRNA-Ser". It matches the Rfam family "tRNA". Rfam says of the family: Transfer RNA (tRNA) molecules are approximately 80 nucleotides in length. Their secondary structure includes four short double-helical elements and three loops (D, anti-codon, and T loops). Lineage: Bacteria; Pseudomonadati; Pseudomonadota; Alphaproteobacteria; Holosporales; Holosporaceae. The record is from RNAcentral.